AACUGUUGAGGUGGGAACCGCCACCCCACGCACUUGGCCGCAAAGCCAAGUAAUUAACCGCCGUAAGGCGGCCAAGAGAUCGCGGUUGGCAACGCGCGACAGUU
This 104-nucleotide non-coding RNA is filed under the name unclassified sequences. RNAcentral describes it as "skipping-rope RNA". It matches the Rfam family "skipping-rope RNA". Rfam says of the family: Firmicutes, Fusobacteria, AlphaProteobacteria, Spirochaetes. Downstream gene The record is from Rfam by way of RNAcentral.